UGAUACGGCUACGGUGCUUGAGUAUUUUCUUUGUCAUACAUAUACUGAUAGCAAGUUCAUCUCUCUCUCUCUCUCUUUUUUUUUUUCCCCAUGGGGGAAACAAUUCUUUGAAAAACAUUUCAUUGUUUCCCUGAGAAGCAUAUUCUACCCUAGAGGAACUUUAAACAGUAAAAUUUAUCUAGAAAAGAAAUUUGUGAAAGAUUUGACAUUUUCUCUCUUUGAAAAGAUGUGUGUUUCCAACUGUCCCUAGAUCCCAGCAAGCCUCAAAUGGAGCCAGAAAGGGAUAGAGGAGAGAAGAACCGAUGUGUAAAUUUGUUGUGAGAGGCUCUCUUGGGCUGACCGAGACUUCAUCAUGCCAGCUGGACUGCUGAUGUCAAGAACCCAAAGAAAUGGUGUUGCCUGGCAAGAGAUUUGCUAUACUUCAUGAAAAAUCAGACCAAGUCUUCUUUUUUGAAGAACCACAUCAUAGAAUCAACUGGAUAAAGAAAUGGCAACCCACUCCAGUAUUCUUGCCUGGAGAAUCCCAUAAACAGAGGAGCCUGGCGGUCUACCGUCCAUGGGGUCACAAAGAGUCGGACACAGCUGAGAGAUUGAGCCCAUCAUGGAUUCAACAUCUUUUUGAGUCAGAUGAACCUCACCAUGAACAUUUUGAAAAUGAAAUGAAACCUAGUGAUGUAAACUGAUUUGCCCAAAUUCACACACAAAGUCAAUUGUCUAAUGAGAAGACAUGCUGACCCUAGAGUCUAUACCAUCUAAAAACAUUGCUUCCCAAGAGGAACUUAAGUCUUUAUUUCUAGUUUGAUCAGUGUCAGAUACUUAGAAUUAAAUAUUUCUUCUAACAAAGUAAGAUUGGUUUUAUUAACUAGCAGGAACCAGAAAAGUCGCAGGACUACAGGACUAUUGUCACCUCUCUGGGUGACUCACUUCUUCUUCCUAAUGGCCAGUCAGCAGGCCUUUUAGGUUUAAUUCAG
RNAcentral lists this long non-coding RNA (971 nucleotides) under Capra hircus (goat). RNAcentral describes it as "lncRNA (ENSCHIG00000007168.1)". Lineage: Eukaryota; Metazoa; Chordata; Mammalia; Artiodactyla; Bovidae. The record is from RNAcentral.